Equus caballus (horse) is the source of this 12535-nucleotide long non-coding RNA. The record is from Ensembl. Lineage: Eukaryota; Metazoa; Chordata; Mammalia; Perissodactyla; Equidae.
AGGCAUGAGAGGUGGGAGGUAGAUGCUUCUUAGCUUCACAAGUUGGGGCUUAACAUAUUAAUUUUGUGACAUUCUUAUUUUCUAACCUAAACCUUUUAAGGUUGUAAACUUCCAUCUAAAUGAUAUUUUUGUUGUAUCCCACAUGUCUCAGAAUGUAGUCGUUUUGUUAUGGUUCACUUCUAAAUAUUUUGAGAUUUCUUUUAUGAUUUCUUCUUCGAUCCAUGAGUUAUCUAGAAGUGUAUCCUAAAUUUCAAAUCUUGGGGUUUUUCUUGUUACCUUUAUGUAAUUGUUGACUGCAUUGUGGUCAGAGGAGGUGGUCUGUAUGUUGUCAAUCUUGACUUUUUUUUGAGCUAGCCUUACAGGCUUAGUAGGGGGUUGCCUUUGUAAAUAUUCCACGUGUGCUUGAAAACAACACACAUUCCCCAUUUGCUGGGUCCUGGGUGCCAUGUGUGUCCACUGGGCCAAACUUGCUAAUGAUGCUGUCUUUAUUCUUAGGAUUCUUACCGUUUCUUUGUCAGCUCCAUCUAUCCAUUAUUGAGAGAGAAGGGUUAGAAUCUCCCCCUUUGGUGGUGCAUUUAUCAAGUUCUCCUUGCAGCUGUGUGAAUUUUUGCUUUAUAUGUUAAGUGCAUACCAAGUUAGACUCAUCUCUUUCUGAUGGGUAAGACCUUUUAUUGUUGUGUAGUUGGGUUGUCAUCUCUUUGUUUACAGCCUGUCUUGUCUGAUAAUACAGCAAUAUCAGCUUCCUUUUAGUUAGUAUUGGCCUGCCAUAUUAUUUUCUGUCUUAAGACUUUUGACCUUUCUGUGUCUUUCCUUCCUUUGGUCUGUCUCUCUCUGUUUUUUUUUUUCGCUGAGGAAGACUAGCCCUCAGCUGACAUCCGUGCUAGUCUUCCUCUAUUUUUCAACGUGUGGGUCGCCAGCACAGCAUGGCUGCUAACAGAGUGGAGUAGAUCCACACUCAGAACUGAAGCUGGGCCGCUGAAGUGGAGGGCACUGAACUUAACCACUAGGCCACUGGGGUUGGCCUUGUCUGUCUCUUUUGAGGGAGAUGACUUCUUUUUAAAAUAGCAGGUAAAACUAUAUAUUUUUUUACUUUUUAAAAAAUCCAGUCUGAAAAAUCAUUGUCUUUUAAUGGAAAGUUUUGUCCUUUAAGUUUAUUAUAAUUAUUGAUUUAUUCAGAUUCAUUUCUACCACCUUAUUAUAUUCUACUGUAUUUCUCCUGCUUGCUCCCCCCUCACUACCAUCUACCCUUCUUGCCUUCUAUUGGAUGAUAGAUGGUUUUUGUUGUUGUUGUUGUUUUAAAGAUUGGCACCUGAGCUAACACCUGUUGCCAAUCUUUUUUUUUCCCCUGCUUUUUCUCCCCAAAUGCCCCCGAGUAUAUAGUUGUAUAUAUAUUUUAGUUGUGGGCUCUUCUAGCUGUGGCAUGUGGGACGCCCCCUCAGCGUGGCCUGACAAGUGGUACCAUGUCUGCGCCCAAGAUCCGAAUCAGUGAAACCCUGGGCCACUGAAGCUGAGCAUGCAAACUUAAGCACUUGGCCACAGGGCUGCCCCGAUGGUUUUGUUUUUCCCUUAUUCUAGUACUCCCCUGCCCCCAGUAUUUUGGAUAUUUUGUGUCUAUAUAAAAAUAUGUAUUCUUUGAGUGGUUACCCUAGAUGUUUUGAUGUACAUACUAAACAAAAUUUAAAGUUAAUCAGCCUCUUAUUUUCCUUCAGCCACAAAGAUCUUAGAAUGCCUGAGAUCAGCAUCUUCAAACUGGAGCACCGUGCAUGCACGUUCUCCAAAGUGUAUGGGGACUGUUUUAAGGGAAUCAAUUUCCAGACCUGCUGUUUUCAUGUGCACCCUUUUCUAAAACUGAUUUUCCUGGGCACUCCUUUGAGAUGAAAGUGCAGGGUUUCCUUUCCUAUUUCUUCUUGCAUAAUCCCCAUUUUCUCACCUCUUGCCUGUCCUGAAUUUGACUCUGGCACAUUGCCCUAGGUGUAUAGACCUUUAAGGUACCAACAAAGGGUUGACUCAAAAAUGUCAGCGGUAAGUUUGGAAUAGUGAAUGACCGUAAUGGUUGGGUAACAAAAACGUUCGCAAGUUAAUUGGUUUUCAUUUAUUUGAAUAAUUUUGGUGCUAGAUCAUGUUGUUGAGAGUUUAGCUACACUACUCCAUAAUAUUACUGUUUCAGCAUACAUUUUGUGUGGCCAAACAGCCUGCAGGGGUAGCCCCUCCCUAGACAACUUUAUCCCCUCCCUAGUUACCAGCCGUGCUCUCUGCCUGCACCUUGACGUCCCGUCCCCAUGUGGCCUCUCCAUGUACCUCCUCCAGGAUCUAGAUCCAUACAGAAGGGGUUUGCCAGAUGCUGGUUGAUGAGUGAACAGAGAAACAAGCUCAAAGCACUUUAGAGGUCGCUUAGCUUGGAUCGUCCCUGGCAGUUUACAGAGGAGAAAACAGAGGCAGAGUGAUUUGCCCGGGGUCAGAGUCAGGAUGCAACCUGGAGGUUUUGACUUCUGUCCAAGGCUCUUUCCACCCCCUCAAAGGGCAGCAGCUGGGUGGAGGAGGGAACCCUGCCUCCCUUGAUGCCAUGUUGGCCCUAGGCUAGGAAGGGCAGUGUUCAGUGUCCCUCACAGCAGACGUCUCUGCCAAUCACUGAGCAUCAAGAUCUUCUGUUCCAGCUUCUGAAGCUUCGUUCAUUUUCCUUGUUCAUGGUAGAACUUCAAAAAAAAAAAAGAAAGUGUGUGGGAUUGAAUUGAAUCGAGUUGAAUUUCUCUGGGCCUUGAUUGCUCCAUCUGUAAAACGGGAGCGAUCCUUCAUUUAUUCACUCGUUCAUUGAACAAAUGUUUGUAGAGCCUCUGUGGAUCCUGUCUGGGCCUACAGUGGACACUGAGGCUGCAAAGAUGGCCAUAGUGAGAGCUCUGCACACACACAGCUCGGAGAACCUCAACGAUCCGUCAACAACGCCUGAUCUUUUUUCGCUUGCUGGGGCCUGCACGGGAGCAGGGACACGGGACUUGGGAGAACACAGCUGAGGGCCUGUUUGUUUGGCUUGGGACAGAGAUAAAGAAAGUUCACAGGGGACGUGGCCUUUGAGCUGCCUUCUGAAGGAUAACUAGGUGCGUGGGGUUUAUUGGCCUUGCUGCUCUUUAGAGAUUGCUCUUGGCUGACGAUGCCCUUUGUAUGACAGGCCUUGUUGGGAGCAGGUGCAGAGAUUAUUUCAGAGCUCGAGGUUUGUGCUGCUUUAAUGUGAUGAUGCUUCCUCUGGCCAAGCCCUUGCAAUCCCUAUUUCGACUCCUGCCCCUAGUGUGGGGUUGCCAGACUUAGCAAGUAAAAAUACAAGACUCUAGUCCAGUUAGAACUUCAGAUAAUAUUUGCAUGAGACAUUCUUGUACCAAAAAUUUAUUUGUUGUUUAUCUGAAAUUCUGCUUUGACUGGGACACCUGUAUUUUAUCUAGCAAACCUACCCCAGUAGCACAUGCCACCAAAAUCUCGCUGCUGGAGUCCCUUUUCCCCAGCCGGCUGCCUUCUUGCGCAGAGAACAUUCAGGAUGGCUGAAGCCCUGACACUUUCCUCAGCACCACUGGCCCAUGGGAAAGCUUACACAUCUUCGUCACUUCAGACGGCGAGAGAGGAGGCUACCUCGUGGCUGCUUUCUCUUCUCUCCCAUCCCGGAAACUCCAACCAACCCUCCUGUUUCCUGCCUCCCCAACCCCCCCACCACUUUCAGCAUUCUCUGGAUGGGAAGCACACAUCAGCGUCUGUUUGCAGACAGACCUCAGACUCUAGGGGACGUGCGUUACACUUUCCCAAGAAUGCUCAGGCUUUGGCAAUAUAAGAGAAAAGCCCAUAAGCUGGUGUAAUAACAUAAGGUGGUAAGCAUACACGUGUUUCCCAGCUCUGUCUGCUGAGAGGGCAUGGAAGAGUGACACCCAGUAGCAAUGAGCAUACUCUAAGCCCACAUCUUAGUUUCUAAAUACCACUCGCCAAUAAAAGGAACUAGGACUCCUUGAAAAAAUGGCUGAUUCCAGGAUUGGGGCAGGGAAGAUGCAAGAUGAGCCUGGAGCAUCUUGUAAUAACAAAGAAAUGGCCUCCAAACAAAACUAAAAACACAAAAUGGAUGAGGGGGCCGGCCCCGUGGCGGAGUGGUUGAGUUCGUGUGCCCUGCUUUCGAGGCCUGGCUUUUCGUAGUUUCGGAUCCUGGGUGCAGACAUGGCACUGCUCAUCAAGCCAUGCUGAGGUGGUGUCCCACAUGCCACAACCAGAAGGUCCUACAACUAGAACAUACAACUGUAUACUGGGGGCCUUUGGGGAGGAGAAAAAGAAAAAAAAGAAGAAAAUUGGCAGCAGAUGUUAGCUCAGGUGCCAAUCUUUAAAAAGAAAGAAAAGAUGGGGACAUGUCCAAAGGACCUAGGAGGCAAUCUGAAAGCUCCCAAUGGCCAAAUCUGGAACAAUUUGAGCAAGAAAAUAAAUAAUGCUAGUAUUAGAUUAUAACUCAAAGAAGAUAAAUAUCCAUCAGCCUAUACAGAUGUAAACAAAUGAUUGAAUGACUAAAUAGGAGAGAGAAAGAAAUCUUCCAUACAGAAUAAUUCCAAACAAUAUAUGUAGAUAUCUCUCCUGCUAGGAGGUGGAACUUAAUUUUUCUCUCCUUGAGUGUGGGCUGGACGUGGUGACUCACUUUCAAACAGCUGAGUGUGGGGAAAUAACAGCUUUACCAGUGAAGAAGCCUGGCUGACACCCCCUUAAGCAGGUGAUCAAGGCUAACAUCACCAGUGGUACAUCAUGGUGACAUCACAUACUCCUGAUAUGAUGCAGUGAGAAUGGCGCUUCACUUCUGUGAUAUUCUUCCCCCAAACUCUUAAAUCCAGUCUAUCAUGAGAAAACAUCAGACAAAAUCCAAUGCAGGGACAUUCUACAAAAUGGCUGACCAGUAUUCUUCAAGGGGUCAAGGUUAUAAAAAGCCAGAGGAAAGACUGAGAAAGUCGCUGGUUAGAGACGACUGAGGAGACACGGUGACUAAAUGCAGUGUGGCAUCCUGGAUGGGAUCCUGGGAUGAAGAAAGGACGUUAGUGGAAAAGCUGGAGAAAUCCAUGGUAACAGUAAUGUUGGUUUCCGAAUCUUGAGAAAUGACCACAGUAAUGUAAGAUGUUAACCUUAGGAGAAGCUGGAUGGGAGUAUAUGGGAACUUAUUAUCUUAAUCAAUUAAGAUAAUAUCUUAAUUAAUAUCUUAUAUUAUCUUUGCAACUUUCCCAUGUCUGAUAUGAUUCCAAAAUAAAAAAGCAAAACAAACAAGUAAGCAAAAACCAUAAGGUGGUUUAAACACAUAAGGUUUUAUUUUCUUUCAUGUAAAUGAAGUCCAGGGGUAAGCAGUCCAUGGUGGCUCCAUGAUCAUCAAGGAUCUGGGCUUCUUGUAUAUUUCUAUGCUGCCGUCUUUAAGCACUUCAUGUUAUGGUCCAGGAUGGCUGCCAGAACUCCAAACUUCCUGUCUACAUCCCAGGCAGCAGUAAGGAGGAAGGAGAAAGGACAAAGAAAGAUAAGAAUUCUUUUAGUUGACUCAUUUCCCAUUCAGGAGCUUUCCAGAACCCCCAGACAACGUUUCCACUUCCACCGUGUCGGCCUGGACAUAUCUAGUUGCAAAGGAGGCUGGGAAAUGUAAUCUUUUUCUUGGUGCAUUGUGCACUGAGUAAAACAAAAGAUCUGUUGCUAGGGAAGAACUGUAUACUGCUUAGGCAUCUGGUCGUCAUUGAGCUUUCUGUUUCUGUGCAUCAGGUGGCCUGUGACUUUCUCAGCUCAGUUGUGCCUGGAGGAAGGCAGACAGUCUCCCUUGAAGGCACCUCCUGUCUCUAUGACCAUUCUCUUGGCUUGGAGAAGGGGAAACUCACAAUAUUUCCCACCAGGCUGACGACUCACCUCCCUUUAUAGAUCUCUCCAUAAUAAACUUCAGUUUUUGGCUUCUGUUGGCUGGCUGGAGAUAAGCAUUGAAGGACAGUUUGUCUACUUUUUAGUAAGCUCUGUGGGUAAUCUCCGAGUCCUCUGCUUUGGGACUGUAGGUAAAAUUGUGGGGUAGCAGGAAAAGCCUAUUCAACAUCCUGUUAUCCAGGUUUCACUGAGAAGAGAAGGGGGAGAAGAAAGACCAACAGGCCGUGCAUCUUGUAUGAUCUCAUGGUAGGACAAACUGUUACCUCGCUCUCUUCCAGAAUGUAAUUUGGCAGAUAUAUCCAAAGUCUUCGAAACAUUCGUACCCCUGUAAUAUAACCUUCUAGAAACUGGCAUCUAUUUCAAGGAAGUAAUCUGAAUACAAGGAAUAAAAAAUUGCUCGAAGGUAUUUAUUUCAGUGUUAUUUAUAAUGUGAGAAAAUAGGAACCAAUUUAAAGUAAAUGACGCGUCUUUUACUAGAUGGAUUUCAUGUAGCCAAUAAAAAUAAUGUUCAUUAUGAUUUAAAGAUAACAUGGAGGGGCCGGCCCAGUGGCGCAGUGGUUAAGUGUGCACAUUCCGCUUCAGCGGCCUGGGGUUCGCCAGUUCAGAUCCCAGGUGUGGACAUGGCACCGCCUGGCAUGCCAUGCUGUGGCAGGUGUCCCACAUAUAAAGUAGUGGAAGAUGGACACGGAUGUGAGCUCACGGCCAGCCUUCCUCAGCAAAAAGAGGAGGAUUGGCAGCAGAUGUUAGCUCGGGGCUAAUCUUCCUCAAAAAAAAAAAAGAUAACAUGGACCUGUAUUUAUAUUAUGAAGUUAAGUGGAACUAAACUGGUUUCACUAUUGCACAUACAGUAUGACUUAAAAAAUUUGAAAGGAAGACAUGCACCAAUGUGCUAACUCUAUUACAGGGUAAUAGAGAUUUUCAUUUAUUUGAGAUGAAAAACAUUUUUUCUAGAUAAGUGCAGAAAAGCAUAAGGAAGAAAAAGCAUAUUGGUGAUUUUCUUAGUUUUGGGUUAUCAAAAAAAUUCAGUUUGGUAAUUUAGAGUCAAGAGGUACUAGAAAGUAUAAGUAGCAAAAGAGCUGUGCCCUAUCUAACCUCUCCCUAUUCUCCUGGGCAACCCUGUUUAAGCCUUUAAUUUUUGCCCUCUGGGUCAAAAUAACGUGCUUAGGUUGCCAUUUCUUGAUUUAUCGAUUGUAGACAUGAUCUGUUGGCUUCCUGAUAAGGUAGAUGGGGAUUUAGGUCUCUUACACCCCCCAUAGUAGGUGAAUAGUGGCCUCUCAAAAAUGCAUGUCUACUUGGAACCUCAGAAUGUGAUCGAUUUGGAAGUAGGGUCUUUCCGAAUGUAAUUAUGGAUCUGAAGAUGAGAUCAUACUGGAUUUAGGGUGGCCGUAAACCCAGUGACUGAUGUGCUUGUCAGUGGAGGAGAGGACACACAGACGCGAACAGAGAGAAGAAGGCCAGGCGAACAUGGAGGCGGUGACUGGAGUUACGGAGCCCCAAACCAGGGAUGCCAAGUGUUCCUGGGAUCCGCCAGAAGCUGGAAGAGAAACUUGGAACACAUUUUCUCUCACAGCCUCCAGAGGGAACUAACCGUGCCAACACCUUGAUUUCAGACAUCUAGCCUCCAGAACUGUGAGACAAUACACUUCUUUUGUUUUAAGCACUCAGUUUGCGAUAAUUUGUUAUGACAGCCCCAGGACAAUAAUAUAACCCCCAUCUCUCUCCAUCUACCUGCAUGUAUACAUUAUGAAUUCUUUUAACCUUUUUUAAUUUCUUAGCUAUCAGGACUGAAGACUGAAACCGCCUGUGUCAACACAAUUACCAUUUAUUCCAGAAAGUUUUUGCCCGGGAAAGAUAAAACUGUAAACCAUUAAAUAUUUCACUGUUUGCUUUGGAAAUUCCUGAAAACCAAUUUAUUCAAGUAAAGGAGUGCACAUUUGGGUGCAUAGCCCCAUUCUCAGAACAGCUGGCUGCUCACUUGGGCAAAAAGUCCACUUGCCAAACAACUGUUUCCUGAAAGACUUGCUCCAAGGCUCUUGCCUACUGUGGCCACCGAUCCUAAUGUACGACGUCAUGGACUUUGCCCAGUCCUGAUGAGAUGCGCAUAUUGAAAGACCCAUUUUAAACCACCUGAGCUCAGACACCAAAGCCCAAUAAGCCUCUGCCCCUGGUCUCCCCCUUCCGAGACCCUCCUAGGCCUGGUCAGGGUGCAGCUGCUGUCUCUGAUGCAGGUAGCUGAAAACAUGGCUUCGUUUGGUGUGCAGGCUGUUCUGGUGGUCUUUCUGGGAAGUCAGCAGACAGCAGUGUGUAUGCGUUUGAGUGUGUGUGAUGUGUGUGCUUGCUUGUAGGUGAGUGUCUGUGAGAGGAAGUGUGCGUGGAUGUGUGUGUGCCUAGUGGCCAGAGGUUAGACCAUAGAGUACAACAAUUUAUGAAAAGUCUUGAAUGCCAAGCUAGAGAAUCUGAAUUCUCUUCCGUAAGCAAUGGGAACCUUGAAGGCUUGACUAGAGAAAGAAUGGCAAGUUCAGGUCAGUGUUUUGGAAAGAUCUGUAAUCCUAGGCUUGGGAGAACUCUCAGGGACACAGAUAAAGAUACCCACAUAGUCACAGCAUAGAAGUGGAGGAGGUUUCGAAACACCAUUGCAAUGGAUUAAAGAUGGCUGCUGAUUCUUUGCCACUCUCCCAUCAAGAGGUGGAGCCUAUUACCCCUCCUUUUGAAUCCAAGCUAGCCUUGGACUUUUGACCAGUUGAAUGCAAUGGAAGUGACAUUGCGUUACUUCUGAGGCUAGGCCUCAAGAGCUUGGCAGCUGCUGCCUUCCUUGUUGGAAUGCUUCCUCUUGAAGCCAGCUGCCGUUAAGCAGUCUGAUUACCUUGAGACCAGCAUGCUGUGAAGCAGCCCAUGCUAGCCAUGUGAAAAGAGAGAGGCCACGUGGAAAAGCGUAGAGGCACCUCAAAAAGAAGCAAAGGCUUGAAAAUGCCACUCCAGCUCAGCCACCAGCUGAUGCCAUGUGGAGAAGAAAGACCACUCAGCUGAGCCCUCUCUGAGUUCCUGACUCUCAGACUCUUGAGCAAGGAAAAUGGUCAUUUUAAGCCACUAGGUCAUGGAAUAGUUUGUUAUGCAGCAACAGACAAUAUUUCUUGAUUAGUCAGUGCCUGUGGAGUAUAGUCCUAGGCAAUAUAUAUACUUUUUUUUUUUGAGGAAGAUUAGCCCUGAGCUAACUGCUGCCAAUCCUCCUCUUUUUGCUGAGGAAGACUGGCCCUGAGCUAACAUCCAUGCCCAUCUUCCUCUACUUUAUAUGUGGGAUGCCUACCACAGCAUGGCUUUUGCCAAGUGGUGCCGUGUCCACACCUGGGAUCCAAACCGGCAAACCCCAGGUGGUCGAAGCAGAACGUGCGCACUUAACCACCGCACCACCGGGCCGGGCCCAAGUCCUAGGCAAUAUUAAGAUGUCAAUUAUCCAUGAUUACAGAUUCAAUGUAAUCCCAGCCACUUAGAUUUUAAUAUUCGUGAUCGCAUUAGCUAUUUUCCUGAAAGUAUUGUAUAUUUAACUCCUCUUUUUAUUCAUAAGUAAUUUCUGCAUCAGAAAUUUCUCUCAAUAUAUAUAUUUAAUCCAAAUAAGACGUGAACCAAAUGAAUCCAAAUUUGUGUCCUAAAUUAGUCACAUAUGCUAUCUUUCAAUAAUACUUUAAAAAAAUAAACAAGGCAUGGUGCCAGGCCUCCCCUCCUUAAUCCUUGAGGUAGAUGCUAUUGUUAUCCCCAUUUUACAGAGGGGGACACUGAAGUUGAGGGAAAGAGCAUGAGGGAAAGGAAGGAUGGAACUAAAGGAAAUGCGGAAAUGGGCGGAGGAGAAUCAGAUGGGGAAACUGAGCGAGAACACCAGAGAGGAGAGAGGAGAGAGGAUAGAAGAGAGAAGGUGUGGUGAAGCCCUAGUGGCCCCUACCCACUCUCAGACUGGGCUUCCUUUGUAGGAUCCCGUUUUUGGAGAGGCAUGCUACCUUUGGAUCUGGGCUGGCUCCUGGCUUGAAGUGUGUGUCUUGCCUCCUUCCUUCAGAUUCCCCAACCGAUGGGCAUCCAGGUUAACCUAUCCCCCUGUGCCUCAUUAGAAUUUCCAAGUGAAACCUGGGUUUGGGGUGAAGGCUUACUUACUAUUAUUUUUUUUUGGAGAGGAGAGGUGAGUAGCAGGGAGAGAGAGAGGCUAGUCCUAAUCUCUUAAAUCGAUUAGUUCAAAAUAUUUGCCUGUCUGGAUUUCAGUAGCCUGGAGAAAUCAACUCUUUAAUGAGGAAUUUCACCAGCAUGAAUUGAUAUGCAAAUCAAUGCAUAUAGCGUGCAACUCCUCCUGGGCCUCUGGAGACGGGUUUUUGUUUUCAACAGGAUUACUUCACUGGGCCAAUUCAAUUGGGGAGAGAAAGCCCUUUGCAAAUGGGAUUUUCAUAUUAAUAAGAGCUGCCAUGGAUUGAGUAUCUGGCACUUGAUGUAUCUAUUUAUAACCUUCCAACAGUGGAACUGGGCAACCUCCACACAGCUUCUUGGAGUUGGUACCCAGGUUUGCCUACAGAGGAAUAUGAAAGCUGUUAGGCUGAGGCAUUUCCCUCAAACAGCCAAAUUCCAAUGCUAAAAUAUCAACACCCAUUUCUUAAUUUCAACUGUAGCAAAUUUACAGAGUAUGAUAAGACUUUUUAAAAACAACGUUUUCUUUUUCUGAUGCAAAUAAUGACUAUUGACAGGGAGAUAAGAAUGGAAGUUAAGUGUGCCUAUUCUGGGGUCAGGGGCCUGGGUUUGAGCCCAGGUCCACCACUUCCCAACCCAGAGAACAGACCACUUGGCUUUUAAUUGUGUCUCAGUUUCCCCAUCUGUAGCCUGGAGAUAAAACUGCAGGGUUGGUGUGAGGAUUAACUGAGUUCAUUCUCAGAAAGCACUUGAUGCCUGGUGCUAAGGAGCUGCCCAGUAAAUGUUAGCAAGUGCCCGGGAAAUAACGAAGAUGAUAGUGGAAGGGAAUUUCUUUUUGCUCUCUCAUACAUUUCUUUUCUUUUCUUUUCUUGAGACGGAAUUUCUUAAUCAGCGCGAGCAAUCAAUAAAGCUGCAACGUGAGAGAACAGUCACAAUUUGGCCAUGGCUUUUAACCCUGUUGAUAAUCUGAGACCUGGCCCUAAGCAGAUUCAAAGCAUGUUGAAAAUGCAGGUCUUUGCAAGGUAUAAAGGAGAACAAACACAUUGUUAGUGAAUGAACACUCAUUUUUGGAAGGCAAGCAUUCUUUUUUGUUUGUUUGUUUUUUUGAGGAAGAUUAGCCCUGAGCUAACUACUGCCAAUCCUCCUCUUUUUGCUGAGGAAGACUGGCCCUGAGCUAACAUCCAUGUCCAUCUUCCUCUACUUUAUAUGUGGGACGCCUACCACAGCAUUGCUUUUGCUAAGGGGUGCCAUGUCCGCAACCGGGAUCCGAACCGGCAAACCCCAGGCUGCUGAGAAGCGGAACGUGCGAACUUAACUGCUGCGCCACUGGGCUGGCCCGCAUUCUUUUUUUUUUAAAUUUAUUUUUAUUGAGACAAAAUUGACAUAUUGUGUAAGUUUAAGAUGGACAACGUGUUGAUUUGAUGCAGUUAUAUAUUGCAAUAUGGUUACCACCAUAGCAUUAGCUAAUAUCUCUAUCGUGUUACAUAAUUAUCAUUUCUUUUUUGUGGUGGGAACAAUUAAGAUCUAGUCCUUUCACAACUUUGAAGUAUAUAGUACAGUAUUGUUGGCUGUAAUCACUGUACUUGUAAGGCAAGCACUCUUCUUAAAAAAAAUGUUUAAUCCAAUUUCCCCACCCAAUUUUGAAACUUUUUAUUAUGAAAAUAAUGAGGUGGGAAUACCUGAUGUCUCGAAGGUUGGCCUCUCUAGUUUUGCUGUCUAGCUCUUCCUUCUGGUCUUUGAAGCCGCCUCUAGAAAUGCUAAAGAUGAUAGCUUCUUCCAUUUCAUCUUUUGACACCUUUUCAUGUACUUUGUGCUUUCCAGAAACUUGUUGAAAUCACUCGUCUGCUGAUGACCUCCAAUUUAUUCUCUCUUCUGUUUUGUGCUUGCAUCUUUUCUAUUUCUCUGUUAUUGUUUUAGUUGGGUUUCUGUAAUGAGAGAGAAAUGAAUGGUCUUUGAGAACCAAAGUUCCAUUAAAGUUUAUUCUCUUAAGAUAAUAAGUGGUACUUCGGGGGUCAUAGGGUUUUGGUUCUGGUAAGAAAUCUUGUCAGUUUUACCCUGGAGAAGUAACGUGGUUUGUCAGGAAUCCCAAUUUAACAGCUACAGUAAUCCAGAGAGAGCUCACAGUUACGGGCGGAGGAGAGUGAAUCCGUGCAGCUAAAUCGGACUUUCCCUGGAUUUUACAGAAGAGGAAGGUGCAGCUCAGAGAGAAGGGGUCACGUCCACUCAGUGAGUUAGUAGCAGACAGGAGGGGACCAUCUUCUAUACCCAAUCUGGGUUCCUUCUAGUACGCCCUACAGUUUGUGCACUCAUGACUGGGAGCCCGUUCUCACUGGCACUGACGCGCUAUGGGGCAUCCAUCACAGAAGCUGAGGGGUGGUGGGUUUCAGAAGCGUGGGCUCUGUGGUGGAGCACAGCUGGCUCGAUCUCCAGCUAUGAGACCUUGGUCAAGUUGAGGAUUUCUGCAUUUUAGUGUCUUCACGUG